RNAcentral lists this ribosomal RNA (253 nucleotides) under uncultured bacterium. RNAcentral describes it as "partial 16S ribosomal RNA". It matches the Rfam family "Bacterial small subunit ribosomal RNA", at positions 524 to 776 of the family's 1533-position model. The record is from RNAcentral.
UACGGGGGGGGCAAGCGUUGUUCGGAAUUACUGGGCGUAAAGGGUUCGUAGGUGGCCUGCUAAGUCAGACGUGAAAUCCCUCAGCUUAACUGGGGAACUGCGUCUGAGACUGGUGGGCUUGAGUGCAGGAGAGGAACGCGGAAUUCCAGGUGUAGCGGUGAAAUGCGUAGAUAUCUGGAGGAACACCGGUGGCGAAGGCGGCGUUCUGGACCGACAUUGACGCUGAAAGCCGAAAGCUAGGGGAGCAAACAGG